UACGAAGGGGGCUAGCGUUGUUCGGAAUUACUGGGCGUAAAGCGUGCGUAGGCGGUUAUUCAAGUCAGGGGUGAAAGCCCGGGGCUCAACCCCGGAACUGCCUUUGAAACUAGGUAGCUAGAAUCUUGGAGAGGUCAGUGGAAUUCCGAGUGUAGAGGUGAAAUUCGUAGAUAUUCGGAAGAACACCAGUGGCGAAGGCGACUGAGUGGACAAGUAUUGACGCUGAGGUACGAAAGCGUGGGGAGCAAACAGG
RNAcentral lists this ribosomal RNA (253 nucleotides) under uncultured bacterium. Its description in RNAcentral is "partial 16S ribosomal RNA". It matches the Rfam family "Bacterial small subunit ribosomal RNA", at positions 524 to 776 of the family's 1533-position model. The record is from RNAcentral.